CUCAACUCCGCUUGAUCCUGGCGGACCCAACUGCUAUCGGGGUGGGACUAAGCCAUGCAAGUUUGCGCCUCCAGCCAUGGGGAGGCGCGGCGCACGGCUCAGUAACACGUGGCUAACUUACCCUUGGGACGGGGACAACCCCGGGAAACUGGGGCUAAUCCCCGAUAGGCAAGGAUGCCUGGAAGGGUUCCUUGCCUAAAGGAAGCUGGAACCAUGCUUCCAGCUUCGCCCAAGGAUAGGGCCGCGUCCGAUCAGGUAGCUGGUGGGGUAACGGCCCACCAGGCCUAUAACCGGUACGGGCCGUGAGAGCGGGAGCCCGGAGAUGGACCCUGAGACAAGGGUCCAGGCCCUACGGGGCGCAGCAGGCGCGAAACCUCCGCAAUGCGCGCAAGCGUGACGGGGUCACCCCGAGUGCCGCCCGCUGAGGGCGGCUUUUACCUGGUUUAACCCGCCAGGUGAAUAAGGGGGGGGCAAGCCUGGUGUCAGCCGCCGCGGUAAUACCAGCUCCCCGAGUGGUUGGGACGAUUAUUGGGUCUAAAGCAUCCGUAGCCGGCCGAGGAAGUUCCCCGUUAAAUCCAGCGAUUCAAUCGUUGGACUGCGGGGAAUACUCCUCGGCUAGGGGGCGGGGGAGGCCGGCGGUAGUCCCGGGGUAGGGGCGAAAUCCUAUAAUCCCGGGAGGACCACCAGUGGCGAAGGCGGCCGGCCA
Molecule: ribosomal RNA, 706 nt
Filed under: Candidatus Bathyarchaeota archaeon
Lineage: Archaea; Thermoproteati; Candidatus Bathyarchaeota
Description: bacterial SSU rRNA
Rfam family: Archaeal small subunit ribosomal RNA
Source: RNAcentral